GUGGGGAAUAUUGGGCAAUGGAGGCAACUCUGACCCAGCAACGCCGCGUGAAGGAUGAAGGUUUUCGGAUUGUAAACUUCUGUCGCGAGGGACGAAGAAUGACGGUACCUCGUAAGAAAGCCCCGGCUAACUACGUGCCAGCAGCCGCGGUAAUACGUAGGGGGCAAGCGUUGUCCGGAAUGACUGGGCGUAAAGGGAGUGUAGGCGGCUUGGUAAGUUAGAUGUGAAAUCCCGCGGCUUAACCGUGGAACUGCAUCUAAAACUGUCGAGCUGGAGUGCAGGAGAGGUAAGUGGAAUUCCUAGUGUAGCGGUGGAAUGCGUAGAUAUUAGGAGGAACACCGGAGGCGAAGGCGACUUACUGGACUGUAACUGACGCUGAGGCUCGAAAGCGUGGGGAGCAAACAGGA
This 407-nucleotide ribosomal RNA is filed under the name uncultured bacterium. RNAcentral describes it as "bacterial SSU rRNA". It matches the Rfam family "Bacterial small subunit ribosomal RNA", at positions 354 to 777 of the family's 1533-position model. The record is from RNAcentral.